AACGCACAUUGCGCCCCUUGGUAUUCCGAGGGGCAUGCCUGUUCGAGCGUCAUUUCACCAAUCAAGCCCCGCUUGGUAUUGGGUGCGCGGCCCGCCCCCCCGUGGGCGGGCCCGCCCGAAAUGCAUCGGCGAGGACACCGACCCCCGGCGUGUUAAGAAUCUCACAGUUCGAACGUCGGGAGCACCGGUGGCCCUCCGCCGCGAAACCUCUUCACACAGGUUGACCUCGGAUCAGGUAGGGAUACCCGCUGAACUUAA
RNAcentral lists this unclassified non-coding RNA (258 nucleotides) under uncultured fungus. RNAcentral describes it as "partial contains 5.8S ribosomal RNA, internal transcribed spacer 2, and large subunit ribosomal RNA". The stretch from base 1 to 52 matches the Rfam family "5.8S ribosomal RNA", at positions 103 to 154 of the family's 154-position model. The record is from RNAcentral. Lineage: Eukaryota; Fungi.